CAAUAUUCCAGCCAGCAUUGAAUAGAAAUGGAAAAGGAAAAAUGCUUCCUUCAUUAACCUAAGGAAACCGAGACCAAGAAUGUAUAUCACCAGCCAAGCCAAAAACGUUGCAGCCACCCCCCAAAUGAAAAAGAAAUUUCCGAGUCUGAGAAGAAAAUGCAAGGUGACGGCUCCUUCAUCCAAAAUCAUACAAUGCAAUUAGAAGUUCCAUAGGAAAACUUUCAAAGCCAAAAAAAUGCUCUCAGCCGAGAGAAUCCAGUCAGAAUGUGUGACGGCUUCUAGGUUUCCUUAGGACCAUGUGUCCUCCUAAAUAGGGGUGGGGUCCACCCUAAAAUAAAAGGAAACCCUAGGUGCCAAGUGUCCUAAAAAAUUGGG
Molecule: long non-coding RNA, 375 nt
Filed under: Vigna radiata
Lineage: Eukaryota; Viridiplantae; Streptophyta; Magnoliopsida; Fabales; Fabaceae
Description: long non-coding RNA (VRAD_LNC014638)
Source: RNAcentral